CCCCCCCCUCUCUCCUUCAAUCCCCCAUCUCUAAUACACAGCCAAUCCAUGGGCCGUACCCUAGUGGAAGAUCAGCGCCCCACUGCUGACUGUCUCCACAGCUAGCGCUGCUGGUCAGAGCUGCUUUUCUGGCCCCCCUUCCCCCAGAUUUGGCGGGGUUUGGCUGUAGCCAUGCAGCCAGGAAGAGGUGGGGUUUAGUUUUGGAUCAGCCGCCUGUUAGGCCACAAUUGAAAGGGGGUCAAAGGGGAAGUACAAUGGCUA
Molecule: non-coding RNA, 261 nt
Organism: Pelodiscus sinensis (Chinese soft-shelled turtle)
Lineage: Eukaryota; Metazoa; Chordata; Testudines; Trionychidae
Source: RefSeq, a predicted model, not a curated record